Octopus sinensis (East Asian common octopus) is the source of this 147-nucleotide long non-coding RNA. RefSeq lists it as uncharacterized. The transcript has 3 exons. Lineage: Eukaryota; Metazoa; Mollusca; Cephalopoda; Octopoda; Octopodidae. The record is from RefSeq and is a predicted model, not a curated record.
UUCUGAUCUAUAUGAUUGAUAUCAUAUGAUGGUUUUUCACACUUGAUUUUCACAAAUGCUAAUUCAGUACGAACACAUUGAUGUCAAUAAAAUUUGUUCGCAGCUAAAAUUAAUGAUUUUGUGAAUUUUUCAAAAGCGUCCGUCCUA